UCGGGUUGUAAAGCACUUUUGUCCGGAAAGAAAACUUCUGCCCUAAUACGGUGGGAGGAUGACGGUACCGGAAGAAUAAGCACCGGCUAACUACGUGCCAGCAGCGCGGUAAUCGUAGGGUGCGAGCGUUAAUCGGAAUUACUGGGCGUAAAGCGUGCGCAGGCGGUUCGUUAAGACAGAUGUGAAAUCCCCGGGCUUAACCUGGGAACUGCAUUUGUGACUGGCGAGCUAGAGUAUGGCAGAGGGGGGUAGAAUUCCACGUGUAGCAGUGAAAUGCGUAGAGAUGUGGAGGAAUACCGAUGGCGAAGGCAGCCCCCUGGGCCAAUACUGACGCUCAUGCACGAAAGCGUGGGGAGCAAACAGGAUUAGAUACCCUGGUAGUCCACGCCCUAAACGAUGUCAACUAGUUGUUGGGUCUUCAUUGACUUAGUAACGUAGCUAACGCGUGAAGUUGACCGCCUGGGGAGUACGGUCGCAAGAUUAAAACUCAAAGGAAUUGACGGGGACCCGCACAAGCGGUGGAUGAAGGUGGAUUAAUUCGAUGCAACGCGAAAAACCUUACCUACCCUUGACAUGGUCGGAACCCUGCUG
RNAcentral lists this ribosomal RNA (591 nucleotides) under uncultured Burkholderia sp. Its description in RNAcentral is "bacterial SSU rRNA". It matches the Rfam family "Bacterial small subunit ribosomal RNA", at positions 418 to 1003 of the family's 1533-position model. Lineage: Bacteria; Pseudomonadati; Pseudomonadota; Betaproteobacteria; Burkholderiales; Burkholderiaceae. The record is from RNAcentral.